GGGUCGUUAGCUCAGUUGGUAGAGCAGUUGACUUUUAAUCAAUUGGUCGCAGGUUCGAAUCCUGCACCACCCACCA
RNAcentral lists this transfer RNA (76 nucleotides) under Enterobacter cloacae. Its description in RNAcentral is "tRNA-Lys". It matches the Rfam family "tRNA". Rfam says of the family: Transfer RNA (tRNA) molecules are approximately 80 nucleotides in length. Their secondary structure includes four short double-helical elements and three loops (D, anti-codon, and T loops). Lineage: Bacteria; Pseudomonadati; Pseudomonadota; Gammaproteobacteria; Enterobacterales; Enterobacteriaceae. RNAcentral also lists the same sequence under 3 other names. The record is from RNAcentral.